Molecule: ribosomal RNA, 397 nt
Filed under: uncultured bacterium
Lineage: Bacteria
Description: partial 16S ribosomal RNA
Rfam family: Bacterial small subunit ribosomal RNA
Source: RNAcentral
AUACGUAGGUGACAAGCGUUAUCCGGAUUUACUGGGCGUAAAGGGCGUGUAGGCGGUCUUGCAAGUCAGAAGUGAAAUUCCUGAGCUCAACUCGGGCGCUGCUUCUGAAACUGCAGGACUUGAGUGCUGGAGGGGAUAGCGGAAUUCCUAGUGGAGCGGUAAAAUGCGCAGAUAUUAGGAAGAACACCGGUGGCGAAGGCGGCUAUCUGGACAGUAACUGACGCUGAGGCGCGAAAGCGUGGGGAGCAAACAGGAUUAGAUACCCUGGUAGCCCACGCUGUAAACGAUGAAUACUAGGUGUAGGGGGUAUCGACUCCCUCUGUGCCGCAGUUAACACAAUAAGUAUUCCGCCUGGGGAGUACGGCCGCAAGGUUGAAACUCAAAUGAAUUGACGGGG